AAAUUGAAUUCCGAGCAAGAAUGAGAAAGUUUUACCUUUUUUGAUGGUCUGCGGUGGCUCCAGUGCGGUGGCGGCCGAUGGUCGGUCUCCUUAUCCGGUGGCUGAUUCUUCUUCUCUAGCGAGGGCAGGUGCAGCUAGGGUUAGGAUUCUCUGAGACGCGAUGUUUAAAUACCUAUCUUACAUCGAUCUUGGUCGUCCGUUCAUGUCGACGUAG
Molecule: long non-coding RNA, 214 nt
Filed under: Carica papaya (papaya)
Lineage: Eukaryota; Viridiplantae; Streptophyta; Magnoliopsida; Brassicales; Caricaceae
Description: long non-coding RNA (CPAP_LNC015788)
Source: RNAcentral